This 506-nucleotide ribosomal RNA is filed under the name Alteromonas sp. Its description in RNAcentral is "bacterial SSU rRNA". It matches the Rfam family "Bacterial small subunit ribosomal RNA", at positions 397 to 895 of the family's 1533-position model. The record is from RNAcentral. Lineage: Bacteria; Pseudomonadati; Pseudomonadota; Gammaproteobacteria; Alteromonadales; Alteromonadaceae.
CCGCGUGUGUGAAGAAGGCCUUCGGGUUGUAAAGCACUUUCAGUUGUGAGGAAAAGUUAGUAGUUAAUACCUGCUAGCCGUGACGUUAACAACAGAAGAAGCACCGGCUAACUCCGUGCCAGCAGCCGCGGUAAUACGGAGGGUGCGAGCGUUAAUCGGAAUUACUGGGCGUAAAGCGCACGCAGGCGGUUUGUUAAGCUAGAUGUGAAAGCCCCGGGCUCAACCUGGGAUGGUCAUUUAGAACUGGCAGACUAGAGUCUUGGAGAGGGGAGUGGAAUUCCAGGUGUAGCGGUGAAAUGCGUAGAUAUCUGGAGGAACAUCAGUGGCGAAGGCGACUCCCUGGCCAAAGACUGACGCUCAUGUGCGAAAGUGUGGGUAGCGAACAGGAUUAGAUACCCUGGUAGUCCACACCGUAAACGCUGUCUACUAGCUGUUUGUGACUUUAAGUCGUGAGUAGCGAACCUAACGCGCUAAGUAGACCGCCUGGGGAGUACGGCCGCAAGGUU